This 497-nucleotide ribosomal RNA is filed under the name uncultured bacterium. RNAcentral describes it as "partial 16S ribosomal RNA". It matches the Rfam family "Bacterial small subunit ribosomal RNA", at positions 28 to 507 of the family's 1533-position model. The record is from RNAcentral.
GAUGAACGCUGGCGGCGUGCCUAAUACAUGCAAGUCGAGCGAACGGACGAGAAGCUUGCUUCUCUGAUGUUAGCGGCGGACGGGUGAGUAACACGUGGAUAACCUACCUAUAAGACUGGGAUAACUUCGGGAAACCGUAGCUAAUACCGGAUAAUAUUUUGAACCGCAUGGUUCAAAAGUGAAAGACGGUCUUGCUGUCACUUAUAGAUGGAUCCGCGCUGCAUUAGCUAGUUGGUAAGGUAACGGCUUACCAAGGCAACGAUGCAUAGCCGACCUGAGAGGGUGAUCCGCCACACUGGAACUGAGACACGGUCCAGACUCCUACGGGAGGCAGCAGUAGGGAAUCUUCCGCAAUGGGCGAAAGCCUGACGGAGCAACGCCGCGUGAGUGAUGAAGGUCUUCGGAUCGUAAAACUCUGUUAUUAGGGAAGAACAUAUGUGUAAGUAACUGUGCACAUCUUGACGGUACCUAAUCAGAAAGCCACGGCUAACUACGUG